Long non-coding RNA from Lineus longissimus, 1107 nucleotides. RefSeq lists it as uncharacterized. The transcript has 5 exons. NCBI's taxonomy places the organism in Eukaryota, Metazoa, Nemertea, Pilidiophora, Heteronemertea, Lineidae. The record is from RefSeq and is a predicted model, not a curated record.
CACCGUGAAGCCUACCUUUUAAGGGCUUCACGGUACAUGCCCCCCUCGAAAAAGACCAGUCUGUCCCCAGACUGAGAAAGUUUUGCCCGAUAAUGAAAAUAUUGUGAGUGGCAGAUCGCCAGUGACCCCAAUGACAAACGGUGUUACAGUGUGACCCGUAGUAAAUAAAAAGAGAUAAGGUUCAUUGAUAAUCAGUUGUGAUAAAAACCCGAACGACCUUUCAACGCCGCACACGCCUCGCCAUGUUCUUUCACCAUUUUUACCCAGAAAUUAUAUAUGCAGCGACUGAAUGUUGAAGAUGGAUCCUCCUCGCCGUGACCAAGAUGAACCCUGGAUAUUGGACGCUCCCCGCUUUCAGAUUCGGAAGGAGCAUUUGGUUGAGAGAAAGACGAAAAGGACCGACCGGUGAGCCCGGAAUGACCAAAAUCGAGGUGAAAUUGGUUAAGAGCUUGAACUUGGGUUUCUUCAGACCCCGCUUGUAAACUCCAGAAAGUAGCAUUUAUUGGACCUGCAUUAGUCGUCGGUACCUGGGCAAAGGUAGCAACCGUGAAAAUAGCUGGCGCCCGCACACCGCACGUUUUACACAGAAGUUUCAGACUCACUACUCGCAGCCUUGCUGCCAGCUUCCCCUUGUACGGAAGAAGAAGCCUGCUUACCCACCUCGUCUGCCUGGAGUUCAGUUUGGUGACCCCCGUCCGUCUCUUCAUGAAGAGGCGCAGGUUCCCGAUGGUUGAAAGGAAUGUCUUCCUCAGCAAGAGGUUCACCCUCACAGGGAAUGUCAGAAGGUUCAAAGAAAUACUUGUACCGAAUGCGGUCAUACGUUUUUGCUGCCGCCAUGUGCGCCGCCAUCGGCUGAUCAUGAGAAAACUCGAGAAUCUGCGGAACCAGUUUCGAAGGGACAACCGUAAGAUGCAAGAUUUUCGGACCGUGUUUAGUGGGAAGCUGUACAAUUCGUUUGAAUACCUGCUCCACUAGGGCAUAUUUAUCAGCUUCUUUUUCUACCCUUGAUGCAAUGGACCUAUCUUGAGGCAACGUGCCGUGUUCCAAAUACUGGAUUAUGUGUCUCAAUUCAGGAUCUUCGUGUUGUGCCGCCUGUAACGAAUCUAA